ACCGCUCACGGCGCAGUGGGAAAAGCAGGGAGAGGGAGACUGGAAUGAAGCCAGGGAUGUGCACGAGGGCUUGGAGUCUGGGGGAGUGAGCGGCUUGAGGGCUUGCCAAGCCAGCUGGCCCCCAACACCCAAGCAUGACUGCCCAUAGCCUCCUCUCGGUAGCCCCCACGCCUGUGCCACCUGCAGCAGGGAAAGCCCUUGUCCUGGCAGUCACACGUCCCCUCCGAGCUCCAGCCACACUCAACAGGCACAGCCCCUCACCCAAUGCCACUUCCCCCCUGCAGCCGACCCCUCCCACACUGUGCCCCUGCUGCCCAGCUCCGCACAGGGGUAGCAGCCUCAUCUGUUUGUAGGUGAGGCUGGGCCCAGGAGGGAGGAGGGGACCAGCCCAGGGAGGCACCAGCUGGUGAGUCCAGCAUGGCAGAGGGAGGGAGGCUUCCGUGUGAGUCUGCCCCAUCUCCUGCCUGGAUCUGCCCGUCUGCCAGAGGAGUGAAGCAGCCCAUUUCUUCAUCAACUGGGUGUUGUCCACCCUCUCAGGCCCUGGACCAGCCCCGAGGAGCUUGCAUACUGGGCAGUCAGCGUGGAGGGCUGGGCAGAGGGAAGCUCAGAGGCGUGGGAGCCAGGGUUAGGUCCCUGACCCCACUUUCCAGGAGGUGACAGGUGGCAGUGGGAGCAGGUGGGGGGAUGGCAUGGGUGCCAAGGGGAAGGGUGCCCUGGGUGAGCUGGAGGGGUGGGUGCUGGGUCGCGGUCCUCAAAGCAGCGCCACCCGAAGCCGGCCUACCUGUGCGAGGAGCUUGUCACCCUCCAGCAGCCUCACUUUGCUCUCCAGUUGCCUGAUGUAGGUGGAUGAGGGAUCUGGAAGGACACAAGAAGAAGGGGGACAUUAGCCUCCAGCAGACUCCAUCCCCAGUGCGCAACCCCGACUGGCCCCAGACCCAGCAUGGAAGGUUUGGGUCUGAGGAGUCCCACCCCACAGCCAAGUGAGACCCCAGCCCCUCCGUGCCCUCGCCUGCCCUGUGGAAACAGCACAGCCUGUGGCCAAAGCCUUCCAGCCACAGAGCACCUGACACCAAGGCAUGACACACAGAGGCCAGCCUCGCAGGACCCGCCGCCACCCUCGCUGUGGGCCUCUGAGCCGUUGUCAGGACCUUCAGGACCUGUAGAAAGGUGGGGUGGGGGGUGGCUUUGCCAGCCUGCCCUGGAGCAAUUCCUUCAGCUUCCAAGAUGCUGCAGGCUCAAACGGAGCUCUCACAAACACAGCCAGGGCACAGCCCACCCCAGGGUCGGGGUCCGGGGAGCCCCCUCCCCUACACAGUGGGGAAAUAGACUCCUGAACUUGCCAAGUCAGCAUCUGGGAUCCUUCCAGUCCACUUCGCCUGAUCACCCAGGAACUUCUCACAAGCAAUGUGUGCCCGCAGCAUAUGCCGCAGGAGGGCUCCCUGGAACACCAGCUGGGAAGCAGUGACCAAGUAAACUCCAGAGACCCUUCCGGCUCCCUCACUCUCACAGACCUAGGACAAGAACGCACCAAUGACUAUGGACCCAUGUGUGGGGUCUCCUUCUGGGUGGAGUCAGGUGGGGGGGUGCCCACUGUCCCAUGUGGAACACGUGGUACCCCCUGCAUCUGAUGCCUCGUAAAGGACAAGCAGCUACCAUCCUCAUUUUCCAGGUGCAGAGGCCACGAGGAACAAAGUGUCCCCACCACCAGCAGGUGAGCCUUCCAGCCCCUCUCCCCACUACCCAGGCCCACCCCACAGGUCAGUCUUUAGGACCCAGUGUUUCUGGUCACCAUGGGCAGAGCUGACAGCCCCAGCCUUGGAGAGAAGCUGGCAGAGACUCAGAAAGAAGACGCCGUUCCCAGUCACACCGCUCUCCCGAAGGCUCUCCGCAGCACAAUCCUUGGCACAGCCACAGGGCCCCUGCUCACCGCAGCACCCCCAUGGGACAGUGCUCCCAGGGGUGGCCCUGAGCCAGGGGGAGGACCCAGCCACUGUGUGUGACCAACAGCCCAAGAUGGGCACUAACUUGUUCUCUGCCCUUCACUGCCACAGAACCAUUCAGGAGGUGGGUGCACUUUCAGCCCACUCGCCUCCCCCUGCCGGUUCCCACAGGGUGAGCGAGUAGCUCCCAGCCCUUCCCUCUCCGCGAGCCCACAAUCGGAGGACGGAUGGGCUGGAACCCAAGUCCACAGCUGCCCCGUCAGCCUCAGCACCCUCGCUGGGUGCCCCUGCUCCUGUCUGAGCAGUCCGCCCCCUCAGAUACAACUGGGGUUUCACACCCACCUCCCAGUAAGGGUUAAAGACAGUGAUCAGGCUGGCAGGUGGCAUCAGGAGAAGGGACACAGACAGGCCAUCCCACAGGUCACCAGCAAUGCCCCGCUUGCCAAUAGCCAGCACCUCACCUCAGGACCCACAGGCCACCAUCCCCCACGUCGGGCCACCUGUAGGCACAGAUGGGUGGCCACACACCCAUGGCCCCAGACUAAGGGGCUGCCCCUGACAAACCCAUCUGUUGAGGUUUACCCCAAACCCCAGGCAGCUAUGCAGAAUAAAAUACACUGCAGACCAC
Pongo pygmaeus (Bornean orangutan) is the source of this 2568-nucleotide RNA transcript. RefSeq lists it as uncharacterized. The record is from RefSeq and is a predicted model, not a curated record. Lineage: Eukaryota; Metazoa; Chordata; Mammalia; Primates; Hominidae. The transcript is spliced from 2 exons.